GAAUAUGGGGGGACCAUCCUCCAAGGCUAAAUACUCCUGACUGACCGAUAGUGAACCAGUACCGUGAGGGAAAGGCGAAAAGAACCCCGGCGAGGGGAGUGAAAAAGAACCUGAAACCGUGUACGUACAAGCAGUGGGAGCCCCACCACUAAGCCAGUGGUGAACUCCACAUCCGCAUCCUUUGCUGAGGAUACGGUUAACGGAGCGAAAGCGACGUUCAACCGCAAAACAAGCAGAGGGGGCUUAGUGGUGGGGUGACUGCGUACCUUUUGUAUAAUGGGUCAGCGACUUAUAUUCUGUAGCAAGGUUAACCGAAUAGGGGAGCCGGAGGGAAACCGAGUCUUAAUUGGGCGUUAAGUUGCAGGGUAUAGACCCGAAACCCGGUGAUCUAGCCAUG
This 397-nucleotide ribosomal RNA is filed under the name Salmonella enterica subsp. enterica serovar Infantis. RNAcentral describes it as "partial 23S ribosomal RNA". It matches the Rfam family "Bacterial large subunit ribosomal RNA", at positions 440 to 738 of the family's 2925-position model. RNAcentral also lists the same sequence under 2 other names. Lineage: Bacteria; Pseudomonadati; Pseudomonadota; Gammaproteobacteria; Enterobacterales; Enterobacteriaceae. The record is from RNAcentral.